RNAcentral lists this ribosomal RNA (235 nucleotides) under Capra hircus (goat). Its description in RNAcentral is "partial 16S ribosomal RNA". The record is from RNAcentral. Lineage: Eukaryota; Metazoa; Chordata; Mammalia; Artiodactyla; Bovidae.
AAGACGAGAAGACCCUGUGGAGCUUUAACUAACUAGUCCAAAAGAAAUAAACUUAACCACCAAGGGAUAACAACAUCCUUUAUGGACUAGCAGUUUUGGUUGGGGUGACCUCGGAGAACAAGAGAUCCUCCGAGCGAUUUUAAAGACUAGACUUACAAGUCAAAUCAAAUUAUCGCUUAUUGAUCCAAAAAACUUGAUCAACGGAACAAGUUACCCUAGGGAUAACAGCGCAAUC